CAGGUCGACGAUUCCUACGGGAGGCAGCAGUGGGGAAUUUUGGACAAUGGGCGCAAGCCUGAUCCAGCCAUGCCGCGUGAGUGAAGAAGGCCUUCGGGUUGUAAAGCUCUUUCGGCCGGGAAGAAAUCGCAUAGGUUAAUACCCUGUGUGGAUGACGGUACCGGAAUAAGAAGCACCGGCUAACUACGUGCCAGCAGCCGCGGUAAUACGUAGGGUGCGAGCGUUAAUCGGAAUUACUGGGCGUAAAGCGUGCGCAGGCGGUUUUUUAAGACAGGCGUGAAAUCCCCGGGCUCAACCUGGGAACCGCGCUUGUGACUGGAAGACUAGAGUAUGGCAGAGGGGGGUGGAAUUCCACGUGUAGCAGUGAAAUGCGUAGAGAUGUGGAGGAACACCGAUGGCGAAGGCAGCCCCCUGGGCCAAUACUGACGCUCAUGCACGAAAGCGUGGGGAGCAAACAGGAUUAGAUACCCUGGUAGUCCACGCCCUAAACGAUGUCAACUAGGUGUUGGGUGGGUAAAACCAUUUAGUACCGUAGCUAACGCGUGAAGUUGACCGCCUGGGGAGUACGGCCGCAAGGUUAAAACU
RNAcentral lists this ribosomal RNA (585 nucleotides) under uncultured beta proteobacterium. Its description in RNAcentral is "bacterial SSU rRNA". It matches the Rfam family "Bacterial small subunit ribosomal RNA", at positions 325 to 901 of the family's 1533-position model. The record is from RNAcentral. Lineage: Bacteria; Pseudomonadati; Pseudomonadota; Betaproteobacteria.